GACGAACGCUGGCGGCGUGCCUAAUACAUGCAAGUCGAACGAGAGCGACCGGUGCUUGCACUGGUCAAUCUAGUGGCGAACGGGUGAGUAACACGUGGGUAACCUGCCCAUCAGAGGGGGAUAACAUUCGGAAACGGAUGCUAAAACCGCAUAGGUCUUCGAACCGCAUGGUUUGAAGAGGAAAAGAGGCGCAAGCUUCUGCUGAUGGAUGGACCCGCGGUGCAUUAGCUAGUUGGUGAGGUAACGGCUCACCAAGGCCGUGAUGCAUAGCCGACCUGAGAGGGUGAUCGGCCACAUUGGGACUGAGACACGGCCCAAACUCCUACGGGAGGCAGCAGUAGGGAAUCUUCCGCAAUGGACGCAAGUCUGACGGAGCAACGCCGCGUGAGUGAAGAAGGUUUUCGGAUCGUAAAACUCUGUUGUUAGAGAAGAACAAGUGCUAGAGUAACUGUUAGCGCCUUGACGUGUAUCUAACCAGA
Molecule: ribosomal RNA, 479 nt
Filed under: Granulicatella adiacens
Lineage: Bacteria; Bacillati; Bacillota; Bacilli; Lactobacillales; Carnobacteriaceae
Description: bacterial SSU rRNA
Rfam family: Bacterial small subunit ribosomal RNA
Source: RNAcentral